GCGGGUAUAGUUUAAUGGUAGAACCCCAGCCUUCCAAGCUGACUAUCCGAGUUCGAUUCUCGGUACCCGCUCCA
This 74-nucleotide transfer RNA is filed under the name Pseudomonas taiwanensis. RNAcentral describes it as "tRNA-Gly". It matches the Rfam family "tRNA". From Rfam's summary of the family: Transfer RNA (tRNA) molecules are approximately 80 nucleotides in length. Their secondary structure includes four short double-helical elements and three loops (D, anti-codon, and T loops). Lineage: Bacteria; Pseudomonadati; Pseudomonadota; Gammaproteobacteria; Pseudomonadales; Pseudomonadaceae. The record is from RNAcentral. RNAcentral also lists the same sequence under 1 other name.